GUGGGGAAUAUUGGACAAUGGGCGAAAGCCUGAUCCAGCCAUGCCGCGUGUGUGAAGAAGGUCUUCGGAUUGUAAAGCACUUUAAGUUGGGAGGAAGGGCAGUAAGUUAAUACCUUGCUGUUUUGACGUUACCGACAGAAUAAGCACCGGCUAACUUCGUACCAGCAGCCGCGGUAAUACGAAGGGUGCAAGCGUUAAUCGGAAUUACGGGGCGUAAAGCGCGCGUAGGUGGUUUUGUAAGUUGGAGGUGAAAUCCCCGGGCUCAACCUGGGAACUGCCUCCAAAACUGCAUGACUAGAGUACGGUAGAGGGUAGUGGAAUUUCCUGUGUAGCGGUGAAAUGCGUAGAUAUAGGAAGGAACACCAGUGGCGAAGGCGACUACCUGGACUGAUACUGACACUGAGGUGCGAAAGCGUGGGGAGCAAACAGGAUUAGAUACCCCAGUAGUCC
Molecule: ribosomal RNA, 450 nt
Filed under: uncultured bacterium
Lineage: Bacteria
Description: partial 16S ribosomal RNA
Rfam family: Bacterial small subunit ribosomal RNA
Source: RNAcentral